This 749-nucleotide ribosomal RNA is filed under the name Ectopseudomonas oleovorans. Its description in RNAcentral is "bacterial SSU rRNA". It matches the Rfam family "Bacterial small subunit ribosomal RNA", at positions 38 to 781 of the family's 1533-position model. Lineage: Bacteria; Pseudomonadati; Pseudomonadota; Gammaproteobacteria; Pseudomonadales; Pseudomonadaceae. The record is from RNAcentral.
GGGGGGGGAGGCCUAAACAUGCAAGUCGAGCGGAUGAGAGGAGCUUGCUCCUCGAUUCAGCGGCGGACGGGUGAGUAAUGCCUAGGAAUCUGCCUAGUAGUGGGGGACAACGUUUCGAAAGGAACGCUAAUACCGCAUACGUCCUACGGGAGAAAGUGGGGGAUCUUCGGACCUCACGCUAUUAGAUGAGCCUAGGUCGGAUUAGCUAGUUGGUAGGGUAAAGGCCUACCAAGGCGACGAUCCGUAACUGGUCUGAGAGGAUGAUCAGUCACACUGGAACUGAGACACGGUCCAGACUCCUACGGGAGGCAGCAGUGGGGAAUAUUGGACAAUGGGCGAAAGCCUGAUCCAGCCAUGCCGCGUGUGUGAAGAAGGCCUUCGGGUCGUAAAGCACUUUAAGUUGGGAGGAAGGGCUCAUAGCGAAUACCUGUGAGUUUUGACGUUACCAACAGAAUAAGCACCGGCUAACUUCGUGCCAGCAGCCGCGGUAAUACGAAGGGUGCAAGCGUUAAUCGGAAUUACUGGGCGUAAAGCGCGCGUAGGUGGCUUGAUAAGUUGGAUGUGAAAUCCCCGGGCUCAACCUGGGAACUGCAUCCAAAACUGUCUGGCUAGAGUGCGGUAGAGGGUAGUGGAAUUUCCAGUGUAGCGGUGAAAUGCGUAGAUAUUGGAAGGAACACCAGUGGCGAAGGCGACUACCUGGACUGACACUGACACUGAGGUGCGAAAGCGUGGGGAGCAAACAGGAUUAG